This 79-nucleotide transfer RNA is filed under the name Schizachyrium djalonicum. Its description in RNAcentral is "tRNA-Leu". It matches the Rfam family "tRNA". Rfam says of the family: Transfer RNA (tRNA) molecules are approximately 80 nucleotides in length. Lineage: Eukaryota; Viridiplantae; Streptophyta; Magnoliopsida; Poales; Poaceae. The record is from RNAcentral.
GCCGCCAUGGUGAAAUGGUAGACACGCUGCUCUUAGGAAGCAGUGCUCAAGCAUCUCGGUUCGAAUCCGAGUGGCGGCA